UGAUUAUAUCCCAAAGAAAACCCAAGCGCAACCAAUUACGUCUCAACCAGAGGAAAUGGAGAAAAUUAAAGAGAUAAUACAGCACGUGGAGCACGAAUAGAGCCAUGGCCAUGAACCAGCCAUGAACGGAUGGAUAGCAUUGCUAUUGGUUGCUAUUAUGAGGGGAGAGGGAAUUUCUCCUCUUCCCAUUCUGUCAUACAACCCAAAAAAAAUCCAAGCGGCCAUUUGAUUCUUUCAAAGUUUCGAGGAAUAGAAAGCGCGAUUUAGAAUUUUUAUUUACUUUAACAAUAUCAAAUAAAUGAUUCUAGUUUACAAUUUUGUACAAAAUAAAAUAAAUCAACUGUUUUUCGGACAUUAAAUGAGUGACUUAAUAUUUAUAGACUUUUAUAGCAAAUAAAAAUAUUUACAUAUAUCAAAUAUGUUUUCACAUCAAGUAUGUGCAGAUUAAUUAGAAACGCAAUUUUAGGUUAGACCACUGAGGACCUCGGUAAGUGAACCUUCGAAAUAGGGGAGAGAGACGCGCUACGUAUAAUACAAUGAUCUAUUGAAGUCACGAAACAAUCUAUCUAAGAUUUCAACUUCUUCGGUAGUAUAGUGGUAAGUAUCCCCGCCUGUCACGCGGGAGACCGGGGUUCGAUUCCCCGCCGGAGAGAAUUUAAUUUUUGAUUUUUCUUCUUUUUAAUAUGUUUUCUUAAUUAUUAUUCUUCUAUAAUGUAGCGACUGCCUUGAUUUAUAUUUUAAAGUAUAAGGGUUCCCUCUGGACGUUCUUUAAUCCUGCUGCUCCGCGGAAAAGAGGGCAACAGAAAGGAGUUAUGCUAUUCCGUCAUGCUUGC
Ceratina calcarata is the source of this 833-nucleotide long non-coding RNA. RefSeq lists it as uncharacterized. The transcript is spliced from 3 exons. Lineage: Eukaryota; Metazoa; Arthropoda; Insecta; Hymenoptera; Apidae. The record is from RefSeq and is a predicted model, not a curated record.